This 429-nucleotide ribosomal RNA is filed under the name Chloroflexota bacterium. Its description in RNAcentral is "Chloroflexi bacterium partial 16S ribosomal RNA". It matches the Rfam family "Bacterial small subunit ribosomal RNA", at positions 355 to 776 of the family's 1533-position model. The record is from RNAcentral. Lineage: Bacteria; Bacillati; Chloroflexota.
UGGGGAAUAUUGCACAAUGGGCGCAAGCCUGAUGCAGCCAUGCCGCGUGUAUGAAGAAGGCCUUCGGGUUGUAAAGUACUUUCAGCGGGGAGGAAGGGAGUAAAGUUAAUACCUUUGCUCAUUGACGUUACCCGCAGAAGAAGCACCGGCUAACUCCGUUCCAGCAGCCGCGGUAAUACGGAGGGUGCAAGCGUUAAUCGGAAUUACUGGGCGUAAAGCGCACGCAGGCGGUCUGUCAAGUCGGAUGUGAAAUCCCCGGGCUCAACCUGGGAACUGCAUUCGAAACUGGCAGGCUAGAGUCUUGUAGAGGGGGGUAGAAUUCCAGGUGUAGCGGGGAAAUGCGUAGAGAUCUGGAGGAAUACCGGUGGCGAAGGCGGCCCCCUGGACAAAGAAUGAAGCUCAGGUGCGAAAGCGUGGGGAGCAAACAGG